This 12290-nucleotide long non-coding RNA is filed under the name Citrus maxima (pomelo). RNAcentral describes it as "long non-coding RNA (CMAX_LNC002009)". The record is from RNAcentral. Lineage: Eukaryota; Viridiplantae; Streptophyta; Magnoliopsida; Sapindales; Rutaceae.
UCAGAUCGUCCCUUGCUCGAGUCAAUUUGUGCAAUUCAGUCUCCAAGACCCGAAGAUUUUUUUCGAGACCCCAUACAUAUUUUGCUUGUUCACCAACGCAGUUUGAAGUUCGAUCAAAUAAGUCUGCUGGUAAGAAGGUUGAGAUUAAGUUACCCAUUGUCGUUGACGAAAAGAGGAAGAGAAGCAAUGAGUACAAUGAAAAGAAUUAUGCUGCUUUGGAGAGGGUUAUAUUUGGAGAAGCACAAUACCGAAAUAAAAAUAUGAUACAUUUGUUGCUUUAUAAUUCAUAUGUCAAAUAUCGCGAACAUAAUGAUACGUUUACACGUCAUAUAAAAUUUGUAAUUCAUUUCAGUAAUGACAGAAUUAAUAUUAAAUCUUAUCAUUUAUUAUUUAAGUGAUAAAUUUAUAUUGAGAAUAUUUAUUUAGAAUAAAAAUUUUGUGCCUUUACUUUGGAUGAAGAUUCAAAAUAUUAAGUCAAUGAUAGCUAGAUAAAAAAAUAAAAUAAAAUAAAAUAAAUUUUAACAUAAAUUUUUUAUUUAAUAAAAAAUAAAUUCAAUAUAAAAUUCUAAUCCCUUAGAUUUACAAGUGCAAUCAUUGAUGAUGUAAAGAAUUAUUAUUUUUUUGGUUAAAAUACUAAGAUAUGGACAGUCAAUCAUUAGCCAUAUGGAUUCAAUUUCUUGAUCGACCAAAAACCUUGUUUCGACUGAAAUCUAUACGUGCAAGUGAACAUAAAUGAACAAGCUUUCAUCUGGAUUUACAGAGUGUGAAGUAAAUGGUGCGCGGUUGGAGGGGGGGGGAGCUUAAAUGGCAUGUUUUAUUCAAACGAUGCUGCAACUGCAGUUCUUAGUAGUUGGAUUCAGAAAACUAAGCUUCGAUAUCAUGACAUAACAAAAGAUGCAAUAAAAAUUGCACGGACAUAAUAGUUGUCAUGCUUCCAUAACAACGUUACCAAGUCGGUAAAAGCUAGGAAUAACAAAACACAUAAAAGUAGUUUCAUAUUAGAGAAUAUCUGAAUUUCCUGGUUGGUGGAGUUUCUUUGAUGAUCUUGUUCGAAAGCUAAUACCAUUCAACUCUAAAAUGUACCUCAAAGUAUCAAUCAUCUCAAUUAACUAGCCACAAAGUUUCCUUAGCUUGCCACAGUUCAGUUGUAGCAAACUACCAAAGCCCAUUUGACAAGCAGCCACUCUUUGUUCAUCUGUCAGCUGUGAAAGUGCCACCGCUAAUCUAUCUGGAGUCCAUCUGGUUAAGAACUUUGCCUUUGCGACUGCUGACUUCACUAUUCGUUCGCAUUGACUUUGUAUUGACAUUUUUUACCCGGCGGUAAAUUCUUAAACAUGGAUUCAAUUUCCGUCCAGUACACAAUCAUGGCAAAUAAACUAACUACGCCUUCACUACUUGAAAAUACAAAUUUAUUUUAUUUGUAACGCAAGUCAUUCCAUCGCUUGCCUUAACCUCACGCACGGCUUCACCGCUGCAAUAUCAUCAUAUGACUGCGAAAUUAUAUAUCUCUAUAAUUUUGUGAUGCAUAUGCAUUUUGCUUUUCAUGCCCUUGCAUUACUGAGCUGAUUUAUAUUCUCUGCUUGCAGUUUCAUUCACUAAUAUCCUUUAAUUGUUGUCAACGUCUUCUGGUCUAUAUUUGAUGAGCAUAGUAAAUACCUACUUUUGAUGCUCCAUAUACAAGUAUUAUCAGUCUGUUGCAAAUAGAUGUUUAUCACUAAUGUUGAAAUCGUAAAAUUUUAGACAUACUAGAACCUAAAAUCAAUGAUCCAAAGAGCCAUCGCCGUUUUUUGGAGCAGUUCUUGCAAUAGAUUCCCACUGUGGUUUUGAUUAAUUUGGUCAUGAUGCUUGUGUGCAGUGAUACUGGUAGGAAAGUUGAUGAUCCUGAGGUGCUUGAGGCAAUUCGUUUGACAGUUAUAAACAAUCUACUUCAGUAUCACCCAGUAAUCAUUUUUUUGUCUCUCUUGAGAUAUAACUUGGUGGAGCACCUGUAGGAAUUGUCUUAUUGAAAAGCUUAUUCCAUUUGUGUUGGUGUUGGAAUCAGGAAUCAAGUUCCCAGUUUGCAAUGGGUGUUGCCUUUGGCGUUGAUCCUCCAAAACAACAGGUUUUUGCUUUCUGGUCUUAUUUUGAUUUUUCAGAUUAUUGAUAUUUUUGGCUCUUCUCAGUAGUGGAUCAUUUGAAUAGGAAACUAAGUUGUUUUUAGAGUUCUCUUAGGCCAAAUAUUACUUCACUUUUAUCCUCAUUUUAUUUAAAGACAUUAUAUUCAAUUUGCCUGCCAUUGAAAUUAAUAUCAUGUUGUCAUGAAUGUUAAAAACUAUGCAUAUGAGUUAUUAUGGGAAGGAUAAUGUCCCACUUCAAUCUUGUCUCAAAUCUUGUUGUGCUGGAAUUUGUCAGGUUGAUGUGGACAUAGCAACCCACAUAAGCAUCUAUGAUGAUGGCCCCAACCGAAGGUAAUGCAUAAUUCAUUCUCUUAUCUAGAUGAUGGGGCUUUUGCUAUCCACCAAACUUUGGUCCCACACUAUUACUACUCAUACUCCAGCCCAAGUGGCAAUUUCCUGCCCAUAACUGAAGUAGUCAGAUAAUUUGGCCCUUACUAUUUUUGUUUAUUUUACCUUUUGUUUUAUUGAAGUUUGCUUUUGGUGGAGACGGCUGAUCGACCUGGAUUAUUGGUGGAUCUUGUAAAGAUUUUUACUGUCAUCAAUGUCAAUGUUGAAUCGGGAGAGUUUGAUACUGAGGUAGUGAGGUAAUCUUUUAUAACAAACUCUAUAUAUAUAUAUAUUGACAAAAGAGUGGCCUUCCCUUAUAAAUAUAUUUUGUUCUAAUUUUUGUUUUCGCACCCAGGAGUUGUUGGCUAAGGCAAAGUUUCAUGUCAGCUACAAGGGUGAAGCCAUUAUCAAGCCUCUCCAACAGGUAAAAACAACAGGCCUACAUAUAGGACAUCGGAAAUUGCUUUAUAGAUUGUUUGCUCUGAAGAAUAAAGAGACUUACCAUUUCUACUCAAAAUCGGUAUUCUAGUUGCAAAACUGUUCUUAUAUAAAAGAUUUGAAUUUAAACUUUGAAGUGGGCGGUAAGAACAUUAACGUGCUAAUGAUCACACGGUGCACCUGAAGGCUUGGACGAUCGUUGAUGUACUGAUUAGACUUUGCUUGAUCAAAUUUGCAGGUUCUUGCUAACAGUUUGCGAUAUUUCUUGAGGCGACCAACAACCGAGGAGGCAAGUUUUUGAGCUCUUGUUGAAGACUCCACCAACCAAAUUCAGGAUUACACACACUUGAUGAAUUUUUUUAUUUCUCUCCCCAGUAAACAUUCACAAGGGGAAUUACAAUAUGUUGUCUCCCUAAUCUCCUUACAUAAAAUAAAUAAAACAUGAGAUAUAUAUAAACGGACAACAUUUUAAUGAUAUAUCAUAUGGUAAACACUUAUAAAAUAGAAACCUUGCUAAUUUUAUCAUCCUCAUCAAUUCAUAGUCCUUUUUAAAUAAUUUUCAAGUUUAGGGAUAUGAUAUAGCUGUGUUGUAUUACUCAUAUUAAUCUUAAGCCUAAAGUUUGCAAUGGGUUGAUGAGCAUACAACCUUUUUCUAUUCAUGGAUUAAAAUAAUAAUAAUAUUAUUAUUAUUAGUUUUUUUUUUUUUUAUGUGAACCUUAGUUUACAUCCUAAAUUUUCCUAUAUCAACAUUUCAUUCCAGUACGCAAACAAGAUACAUCACUAUGGUUUCUUUAAUUUCAUUCUGUUUUCAUGCUUUGAAAAUUAGCGUCAUGACAUUGAUUCAGCAACUUUCACAAAACAGAAACAUAAAGGAGAUUUUUACCAUGUGGCUUUGGUGCAUUGGUCAUCAAAAUCUGCACAAUUAAUUAUAAAGAAUAUACGAUGUUUGCGCGUGCAAUUAUGAACGACUCAUCUUAUAUCAACUUAAGGGCAAAAUUAUUUUAAAAUCUCUUUGUAUAUAUGUUACAAUGUCAUUAAUUUUUUUUGUCAAUGGUCAUAGUUUAUUUAAUUGGCUACCAUUUUUAAGUUUCUUAUGACAGUUAACGGGUGAGGUAAAUCGAACACUUAAUUUUUUUAUAUUUAUAUCGUCAAUGGUGGAUUCAAGAAAAUAAUUUAUCGAUGACUAAAUUAUAUGACGACACGAUUCGAAAACUCAAAUUUUAUAGGUUUAAUAAAAACUAAAUUAAAUAAUAGUAAACCACCUAUAUGGGUUACCUCAUAACUUUUUAUAUUUUAAUUAAAGUGUGGUUUUUGUAAUUCUCAAAAUUAAAAUUUUAUAAAUUUUGAAUUUAUAAGACUAUUUUUAUAAAUUUAACUUGCCUAUUUUAAUAUAUUCAACAGAAUUAAUUAAUAACUCAAAUAUUUUUUUUAAUUAUUCUCUCUGUCCCACUAAUCAUGAGGUGAAUCCACCUCUAUAUCUCAUUUUAUAUUGUGUAAUCUCGUUAUGACUAAAAAGUACCUCCCUUAGAUUCAACUACUUAUCUAGGGAAAGUUUUUAAAAGCUGAGUCCACAAGCCAUGUCCCAUAACUUAGAUGACUGAAAAACAAAAACAAAACAAAAGGGAACAAAAGAAGGCCAUGCGGCCCAUGCUCUGCAAUGAGUGCUCCCUAAUGAUCAAGAAAGAGUAUUAUAAUUUAAUAUUUAUCCAAACAGAAAAUGACGUACACGGGAACAAUAAAUGAUCUCCCUAGAGAUGAGAGAAAUGGAUAACAAUAUUCUCUUAUUUAACUUCACUAUAUAAAGAGCUCUCUAUCAAAAUCAUAAUUCAAUUCAUUCCACCCACAUUGUUUGGAAAGAGAGAAAGUGAGAGAAAAAAGAAGGAAAAUAUGACAGGAUCAUUUGCUAGAGGAGCUCCCACCUUUAACUCCAUGUUUUUCAAGUAAUGUUUUCAUUAUCUAUCUACUUUGCUAUUUCAUCAUUUCAUUUUGACAAUCGCACUUCAUUAUUGCAUGGUAUGUUUGUAAAUAAAUGUUUUCACUUUAUCUAAAUUAAUUUUGUUAUGAAACAGUUCGUUCGAAAUAGGCCUAAUAGUUUCAAAUUAUUUAUUUACUAAUUAUGAGUGGUUGGUUAAGUACAUAGAAUUAAAUGUUUUAUUAACUGAACCAAUAUGUCUCCACAGGGGCCUCAGGUUAAAAAAAAUUAUCAAGAAAUAUGAAAGUCUUCAAUUAAAUUUGUCUCUGUGUCUGAUAAUUUUAUUUUGUAGCCCCCAUAUGUUUAUAUUCUUGUGGUAUAACCUACUUAAAAUUUGUUGUUUCUGUAUGAUUGAUGACAUCCAAAAUCCUGAUUUCGCCACUGUCCACGCAAUAAUAAAAAGAGAUUGCUUUCAUUCAUUUGAGUGUUUGAAUAUUUUACUCUUUGUUUUUGCAUUAUUAAUUUGUUGAGUCUUUUUGAAACAUAUAGGCCAAUGAUGAGGAAAUCCUUUCAAAAGAAAACAAGUUCUUAUGAUAUGAUGAGAGAAACAACAUUGAAAUCCAAUGCAGAAGAAGGAAAUGUGAUGAGGAGCCAACAGUUGAAUAAUAAUGUGGGAGAAAAUGAAGGGAAUUGUGGUUGGGUUCCUCAUGAAAGAACUGGGAUUUAUUACCCAAAAGGCCAUGAAAAAGUUAUUGACGAUGUUCCUCCUAGCGCUGGAAGAGAUUUUGAAGUUAAUUGGUUCUCAGAAACUCAUGGAUAAUUUAUGGAUAUGUUUUUUUUUUUUCAAAUUACUACACAUGCUUAAAGCGAAAAGGCUUUCUAUUGUCUCAAAGCAAAAUCCGAUUGUGAAAAAAAAAAUUAAAAUAAAAUAACAAUAAUGGAAAAUGAAAUCAUUUAGAUUCAGCUCAAUGCUAAGCAUUCCAAAAUUUAAGUUUCAAAAGAUAUGACAAUCAUUUAUUAGAUGGUGGUUAAAUAAUUUUACAAGUUAUGAAAUCUAUCGUCUAAUAAAUGAAUAACGUGUGACUUUUAAGACUUAAGAAGUUAAGACUAAAAAAUUAGGAUCUUAAUAUUAUUCUUACUUUUAUAUCAUCUUUUUAUUUAGGUCUAUUGUUUAUUGUCGUCUGAUUCUUCAAGCUAAAUGUACAAAACUACAAAUGGAUUAGGUGGGCCUCGCAUGGGCUUAAUUUUUUGUUAUGGCUCAUGAGUGGUCCUAUUGGUACCCCUAAAAAACCUUCUCAAACCCUUCUUUUAUAAUCAUGCAUUUGUCCCUAUUUAAAUUUACAAUGAUAAACAGAAGAAAUUAAAUUUUAUUCAAAUAACUAGUCUCCAUAAUUACAAUCAUGUGAAACCAAAACUCGACUUAACAAUUUAUUAUUUAUUUUGACGAUAUUUAGUUGACAUUCCUUGUUUAUCAAAGCACAAUGUAUUUUCUUAAAUUUUGAUAAAAUUUUAAUUAUUUUGUUAUUAUUAUUUAAGAUGAAACCUUAAAAUAUCAAUAACCAAUGUUGGAUGUUGUUAUAAGAAAUUCUAAUGAAAAUAUUAUGGAAAUAGCUUUUAAAAUUAUAAGUUCUAAUGGAGAUAAUGAUUAUUCGAAAGUUGAUGCCAUCAGAUUUGGGUUUCAAGCUCCCCAAGACGAAGAAAAUGUGAAAAUGGGGUUGGUGUGUAAACCAAGGGUGUUUUUGGAAUCAACUUAUGUGGGUUUAGAAAUCGAGUGAGGCUAUAUACACUCUAAAAAUUACACUAAACACCAUAAUUUUAUAAAAAAAUUUAUUUCAAUAAUAUUUAUGGUAUAAAUUAUUAUUAAGGACAUGACAAUUAUUAAUUUUUUUUGUAUGACUAUAAUUACUUCUUUUUCAGUUAUAUUAUGAUGAUAUUAAACAAGUUUACAUUGGUUGCUUGAUUUUUUCUUUUGGCCAAAAAAUACAUGUCAUUCCACAAUACCAGAGUAACAUGGACAAUUAUUCAGACUCUUACAAACUAGUCUGCAACUGAGGCAUUACAACCCAGCAAACAUUUUUGCGACAUAAAAAUGUUCAGACAAAUCCAGAUUAAAAAAAAAAGGGCUUAAUUUACCAUCCUCUUUUGACAAACUUUGAAUUUUCUGACAUUCAAUUGGAGGUGGAAGUGGCAUCAUAGUUGUACUGAAGAAGAUCGUCAUAAGGGUCCCAGGCACCUACUCUGAAUCAUUCUUUCUUGUCCCUCUCUUUCAAGUCCUCCAUCAACCUCAAAAUCAUAUUCUCAGCAAUUAAAAAUUUCAUCUUCACUUCUCUUCUUGAUUCUAAGCUCAGAACUAUGAAGCGCAAGCUGCGUCUUUUAUUUAGCUAAAUGAUAUAUUGGUUAAUUGAUUUAUUUGUUCGGAUUAUAAUGUUUAUUUCUCACGAUCUUUUCAUUGGUGAAAUUUUUUGAUGGAUUUUUUUAGUUGCUCCUUUAUCAUUCUUCAUUUAUUGGAGAAAUAUAUUAUACAACCAAAUAAUUAAAUUUUAAUGAUAAAAGAGUGUUUAGAGAAAUAUUUUGAAUAUGUAAGGCGUUUUCAUGAGUGUGUUAGAGUAAAUUAAUUUAAAAAGGAUUAAAUGAGUACAUUUUUGGUACUUUAAGGAAUGUACAAAAUAUAGUUCAUUUUUUUAAAUUAAUAAAUAAGUGUAUAUAGUAAUAAAACUUUGAGAAUAAUUUUUAGACUACAAAUAACUCUGCCCUUAGAAAUAAUAUUAUUUUUUGAAUGAUUUAGUGGGCAUAUUGAAUAAAGAUUUUUAUGAGGGCUUUCAAAGGUGCGAUAGUUCUACUCAUGACUCAUUUUUCUGCUAUUAGGAUUUACUCUUUGUUUCGUACUUUCAUUUGAGUGGAGCUCUCUCUGUCUCUCUCUCUCUCUCUUUGGAAAUGGAAAGCUUCAAUCAAUCACUUCAAGGAAAAAGACUUACAUGAGUUGAAAUUUCCUCCAGCCAAAUUACACGGCCCGAAUUGUUAACAUCAUAUUUAUCUAAUUUAUGAGCGGUCUCACUACUACUGCUCAGUAUAAGAUUGAUUUUGAAGUGGUCUUUCACAACCAUACAAUUUCGAAUCUCGAAAAUUAACCAUGAUAUUUCUUUCAUACUUCUUUCAAAACCUUUCGCCAAGUUUAAAAUAGUCUUCGAGUCUGAUUCAACAAUUAAUGGCAUUAAACCAAAGUCUAUUGCCAUUUUUAUUCUAAAAUUCAUAUCUUCAGCUUUAGCAUAUUCAACGUCCCCAUGAAAAUCUAUAUUCUGAAUUCCUACACUCCAAAAUCCUUAUAAAGCUUGUUUUAAUUUUUAUUUAUCAAAGUACCUUGGUUUAAUUUAUAAAAUACUAAUCCAUAAAUUAAAAUUAAUAAUCUUCUCAUUAAAUUUCACCUUAAAAAGAUUAUAAAUUAUUAAAAGUUUCUAAAAAUUAUAUAUAUAUAUAUAUAUAUAUAUAUGAAAUGAGGUGGGUGGAAAAAUGUUAAAAGAAUAAUUUUAUUUAAGUAUUAAUUAAAUUUUCAAUCAAAAUAAAAAUGGAAUUAAUUUAUCUUUAAUUAUUUAAAUAAUUUUAAUUAAAGAGUUAUAAGGAAUUUAAAGGAGGGUCUUAUAGGGGGUGUCAAAAGGCUGCGAUCUAAUGCUUCCGUUCAUCACAAUCUGCUACUGCGAUUGAUCGCGAUCUGCAGCCGUGGUCGCGCUCGUCCUGUCGCCGUUUGUCGUCGCGAUCUGUUACCUUCGGUGAAGAGGAGCACAAUGUUUGUUUUGGGAAUUAUAAUUUUAUAUUUUAAAUUAUUAAUUUCUUAUAUUGUUUGGCCACUGAUUGUACAUUAAAAUUAUAUAGAUUGGUGUUUGUAUUAUUUCAUUGUUUGCUUAUUUGUUAUUAAUGUUAUUAUUGUUUAUUAUUAUUAUUAUUAUUAUUAUUGUAGUAUUAGUAGUUGUUAUUUAAUUUCAUUAUUAUCAUUAAUUAUUACUAUUAUUUAUUUAUAAUGUUAUUAUUAAAUUUAUUAUUAUUAUCAUUAAUACCAAAGGACAACUAUUAUUAUUAUUAUUAUUAUUAUUAACAACUAAGGGCGUUUUAGUAACUUAAAACAACUUAACAUAUUCCGAUUCCGAUUCUUAGAUAAAGUAAACACAUCAAUGGGGUUUUAACUCAUUCCGAUUCCAAUUCCGAUUGCUACAGUUUAAGUAAACAACUUAUUUUGAUUCUCAUUCCUCAUUUUCAUUCCGAUUCUAACCCAUUCCGAUUACUGACAAGUAAACGCAUUAUAAAGGAAAGGAAAAAAAAUUAAUUAUUUUUUUUACCAAAUAUAAUUAUAACAAAUUAACUAAAUAUUUACUAAGAGUUCAGCAUCUGAGUUCCCAAUCCAUAAAUAUGCCAGCAUUUUAAAACAAACAAGACUUAAGCGACAAAUACAAUUUUGUCGACGAGUAUAAAGGUCGCAUUAUAAGCCAAAGGCGAGCAGUUAAGAGAAGAUAAAAUUUUACCGUAUUAAACUUGUAAUUGUGGAUGCCUGGCCUGGUGUUAAAAAGGAUUUAGAGCCACAAAAAGUUUUUGACCAAACCAAAAAGAAGUAGCAAAGCAAAAAAAGGAUAAUAGCAAAGCAAUAAAUCUACAAGUCAUCACAAUCAUGCAACUCUAUAGCAAGAAAAAAAGAAAAAGAAAAAGGAAAUACAUAUUCAAACAUAUUAAUAAUAAGGAUCCUCCCAAAGUACGGCACAGGAAAAGAAAGCAUUUUGGGUGGCUUGUUCCUCCCAUUGUAGCUCUUCCCACCAUUUUUUCGUUCCCUCGAUGACAACUCGACGUCCCUUCGCGCUGCUGGAAUUGAGUGGGAGCUUCUUCAGCUGUCGGCAAUGAAAUACUUGAAUUUUCUUCAGCUUUGGAAAGGGCAGGGGAUUCGGGUAAACGCUCUUUAAAUUUGUUCCCCGCCACAUGGUUAGAUAUUCGAGUCGUGCGAAAAAGUUAUGCUCUGACCUGAUUAUCUCUGAAAUAUCACUCAAUUUAUCAACACUGAUUAUUUCUUCCAUAGUAAAACCCUGCAUAUUUAGCUGCUCGAGGUUUUGAACAAAAACAAGCCACGUUAAGUCCUUCCCUCUGCAAGACCUUAGGACAACUGUGUUAAGACUGCGGAAACCAUUUCGAAAAAGUUUCUUUACCUCUUCUGUGCUGUCAAUCUUCAUCUCUUCCAACUUAGAGGAUUCAAGUUCUAACUCCUGAAGAUUCUCCAUGUAUGCCAGAUGUAAGACAUUGAACGGUGGCCUUGUAUACGUGCCACAUUCAACCCAUACAGAUUGAGUGAUGCUCACCAGCUUUGGAUAUUUCAAAAACUUUUGGACAGCAAGUGAACUUCGGAAGGACCAGCUUAAAACAUUUAAAUGCUUCAAACCCAGCAAUUCCUUCAUCAAAGGUUCAGCAUCAUCACAUAGAACGUUACCUUCUUCUUCUUCUAUUACGCUCCAGCGACCGCGCGAAAGCAACCUGAGUACCUCCAACUUUGAAAAGCCAGAUAUCAACUGAGGUGGAAUUAUAGACAAAAACCGUGUAUGGUCCAAGUUCAAAUAUCUCAGCUUCUCCAAUGCCUUCAGCUCUUGCGGCAACCCAGUUAUAUUAGUCCGUGAUAGAUCAAGAUGAUGCAAUGAAACCAAAUUUGAAAUCCCUGAUGGUAGUUUACUUCGGGAAAGAUUUAUUCGUAGACUUAAUACUCUAAGAGAAGACAUCGAUUGAAAGAAGCCAUCAGUAAUCUCCUCAAUCCAAGUUCCAUCCAGAAGUAAAGUGACGAGACGUGGACACGUGGGAAUUUCCGAUAGGCUUUGAAUUCUAGUUUUCAUCAGAGAUAUCCGAUUGGCACCUUCCCAUUCUUCAACCUUUGGUGCUUCGGUCAGUUUAACUCCAGCGCGAACCAGAAAGUUCUGCUCCUCCUUGUCUACCGUGCACGCUAUCCAUAAUGACAUCUCACGAAUCAUAUCGUGCAUCUUUACAUGAUCAUCGCCUUCUUCCUCCAAUAAGCAUGCUUGAAGAAGGUCAUCAAUAAAAUCGCAUCCAUCAUCAAAAUCACACACAAAUCCUUCACUAAUCCAGUAAUCAAUCAAUUCCCUUCUAGGAAUUUCGUAGUCUUCAGGAUAUAAGCAACAAUACAGGAGACAGGAACGAAGUUCAUCCGUAGACAAACUAUCAUAGCUGAACUUUAAACGCGAAAACACCUCUUCUUUCAUACCUGAGAAUUUAGAAGCUGAUGUUGUCAUUUUGUGAAUUGCACGUUUCCAAUCUCCAACUUUCCUUUGGCUUUUCAUGGCUCGACCCACUGUUUUAAGCGCUAGCGGCAACCCACCACACUCUCUUGCCAGGGUUUCGGCUAGCUCUGGAAUACUGGUAUGACUGUCAAGAGUGGAUCUGUCGACCAUCUCCUGAAAUAAGUCCCAGGCUUUAUCAUGCGCCAAACUAUACACUUCCACCUUUUCAGCGUCCAUUUGAUCGCAAACACCAGCUGAACGAGUUGUCAAGACUACUUUGGACCCAUCAUUUAGUUUUUGAAGAGGGACACCCAAUUGUGUUAAAUCAAUGCGUUCCCAUAUAUCAUCCAAUAACAACACAAACUUCUUUCCGCUUAAAAUUCUAGCGAUGUCCGCAGCCUUGUCUCGAGGACUUUUUUUCUCCCAGCUUUGGUCUUCUGAAAAGCCAAUCCUUUUUCCAAUGUCAUCUUGAAGUGUUGACACAGCCGCCCAGAUAACAACAUCAAACAUAUGCUGUUGAUAGCGGAAGUUGUUGUUGACUUGUUUUAAAAGGGUAGUUUUGCCGACUCCCCCUAUACCAUACAAGCCGAUAAUUCCCCUGUUCUUUUCCUGAUCAGUGAUACAUCUCCAAACUUGAUCAAGUAAUAGUUUUUGACCAACAACUGUGUGAUCAAGAGGUAAUUCAAUUGCUGCACCAUCUGGCGCCUUCUCAACAACGACUUCAAUUUUUUCUCCGUCUUUCUUUAAAUUGAUCACUCGAUCCGUCAACUCGACCACCUGAGUCCCGUAAUUGUAGCUUGAAACGAAGUUUUUGGAACAGAGGCCUCCAAGGCACAAUCUAUCCAUUUCUUGAGCUCUAACUCGUUCGAGCUCGGUAAAUUCAGUUUCCAGUUUUUGCACAUCUUCAAGCCACCCUGCGACCUGGUUCGUUCGUCUGGUUCGAGGUCGCUGUUCUUCGACCUCAACCUUGGUCUUCAGAUCGUCCCUUGCUCGAGUCAAUUUGUGCAAUUCAGUCUCCAAGACCCGAAGAUUUUUUUCGAGACCCCAUACAUAUUUUGCUUGUUCACCAACGCAGUUUGAAGUUCGAUCAAAUAAGUCUGCUGGUAAGAAGGUUGAGAUUAGGUUACCCAUUGUCGUUGACGAAAAGAGGAAGAGAAGCAAUGAGUACAAUGAAAAGAAUUAUGCUGCUUUGGAGAGGGUUAU